AACGCACAUUGCGCCCCUUGGUAUUCCGAGGGGCAUGCCUGUUCGAGCGUCAUUACACCACUCAAGCAUUGCUUGGUAUUGGGCACUCGUCCGCCGCAAGGCGGGCGUGCCUCGAAGACCUCGGCGUGGCCUAACCGGCUUCGGGCGUAGUAGAGUUAAAUCGAACGUCUUAUAAGUCUGGAUAGGUUCCACUUUGCCGUAAAACCUUUAUAUUUUCUAGGUUGACCUCGGAUCAGGUAGGGAUACCCGCUGAACUUAA
This 259-nucleotide unclassified non-coding RNA is filed under the name uncultured fungus. RNAcentral's name for it is "partial contains 5.8S ribosomal RNA, internal transcribed spacer 2, and large subunit ribosomal RNA". The stretch from base 1 to 52 matches the Rfam family "5.8S ribosomal RNA", at positions 103 to 154 of the family's 154-position model. Lineage: Eukaryota; Fungi. The record is from RNAcentral.